This 460-nucleotide ribosomal RNA is filed under the name uncultured Rhodoferax sp. Its description in RNAcentral is "bacterial SSU rRNA". It matches the Rfam family "Bacterial small subunit ribosomal RNA", at positions 923 to 1382 of the family's 1533-position model. Lineage: Bacteria; Pseudomonadati; Pseudomonadota; Betaproteobacteria; Burkholderiales; Comamonadaceae. The record is from RNAcentral.
GCACAAGCGGUGGAUGAUGUGGUUUAAUUCGAUGCAACGACGAAAACCUUACCCACCUUUGACAUGUACGGAAGCCUUUAGAGAUAGAGGCGUGCUCGAAAGAGAGCCGUAACACAGGUGCUGCAUGGCUGUCGUCAGCUCGUGUCGUGAGAUGUUGGGUUAAGUCCCGCAACGAGCGCAACCCUUGUCAUUAGUUGCUACAUUCAGUUGGGCACUCUAAUGAGACUGCCGGCGACAAGCCGGAGGAAGGUGGGGAUGACGUCAAGUCCUCAUGGCCCUUAUAGGUGGGGCUACACACGUCAUACAAUGGCUGGUACAAAGGGUUGCCAACCCGCGAGGGGGAGCUAAUCCCAUAAAGCCAGUCGUAGUCCGGAUCGUAGUCUGCAACCCGACUACGUGAAGUCGGAAUCGCUAGUAAUCGCAGAUCAGCAUGCUGCGGUCGAAUACGUUCCCGGGCCUU